Long non-coding RNA from Spea bombifrons (plains spadefoot toad), 876 nucleotides. RefSeq lists it as uncharacterized. The record is from RefSeq and is a predicted model, not a curated record. The transcript is spliced from 5 exons. Lineage: Eukaryota; Metazoa; Chordata; Amphibia; Anura; Pelobatidae.
GUACUGUUUUCUCUCUUUUUUUUUUUUAAUAGUAUAAAAUAAAACUUCCUGUUUAAAGGGCCCGGGAUAAAGCAACAAUGAAGGGCGCAUUGCUAUGGCCUUAGGACAUAACUAGGAACAUAACUCAGCACUUAUUCUAACAAGAGCUUGGACGGGAUUGCAAACGCUGUGUUUGAUGAGGAUUGCUGCAGUAGGCAAAACAAGAUAUUGCAGUGACCAAAAGUGUCCUGCAUCAUGACCUCCAUCUCUCCGGCAUGUGGGGAGCACAGCAAGGACCGUCAGGAAAGAUUUUUUUUUUCCUGAUGUAUUAAACCACACAGCAUUCCUUCACUUCUUCACAUUCAGCUGCGUGUUGAAAGACUGAAGAAAAUGAUACAUUAAAUGCAAAGGAAAACAUUUAACAGCCCCAUUCAUAACAAUAAUACUGAAAGCCAUGAAUCUUCAGAAGCAGGUCAUGGAAAAGACCGGCUAAAAAGACCAUGAUAUGAAAACAGAGAGAUCCAGGAGACCCAAAUGGCGCAACUCAUCUGAUACUAAGUCUCCAGAUUCGGUUUCCUGAAAUUUGAUGACAUGUACGACCACAAGAACGAAGCUGUUUCAGCAUAAAAAGCUAAUGCGAAGGAAGUCCAGGCACAGAUGUUCUGCAAGUGUCUCCUUUUUUUUCCUCCGUUCCAUUCAGUUCUUGGGCUUAUUCCUUUUGAUUUUUUUUUUUACCUGGCAAUUUCCACACGUAAAAAAAAAAAAGAUAAAUAUCACUUUCUCCAAGUAAACUCCUAACGUUAGGGGUCAACAAGCUGCAAAAGUUCUGCUAUAUAAACAUACAGUAAACUGGCUAAUUUAUUGAGCAAAUACGCAGAGAUGUAGAAACUGUGAAAG